This 493-nucleotide ribosomal RNA is filed under the name Angaracris rhodopa. Its description in RNAcentral is "partial 12S ribosomal RNA". Lineage: Eukaryota; Metazoa; Arthropoda; Insecta; Orthoptera; Acrididae. The record is from RNAcentral.
ACACGAUUAGUACAAUUGAAUAUUUUUGGUUAAUAUAGUUAUUAGUAUAUUUGAGUUUUAUUUUAAUUUUAUUAGGUGAAAUUUCAUUUUUUAGUAUAACUCUUUAUUAUGAACCUAUGAAACUUAAGAGAUAAACUAGGAUUAGAUACCCUAUUAUUUUAAGUGUUAAUUUAAAUUGCCUGGGUAGUAUUAGUUAGGGUCUUUAAACUCAAAGAAUUUGGCGGUAUUUCAUUCCAUUCAGAGGAACCUGUCUCGUAAUUGAUAGUACACAAUUAACUUUACUUAAUUUAUUUGUUUGUAUAUCUCCGUUAUCGGAAAAUCUUUUUGGAGUCAUAAUUUUCCUGUUUUUCCAUUAAAAAUUAUCUCAGGUCAAGGUGCAGUUUAUAGUUAAGUGUAUGAUGGGUUACAAUAAAUUUUUUUAUUAUGAAUUUGGUUUUGGAAUAUUCUAAUGAAGGUGGAUUUGAUAGUAAUUUAAUUUAUUUAAUUUAAUUGA